Molecule: ribosomal RNA, 164 nt
Filed under: uncultured bacterium
Lineage: Bacteria
Description: partial 16S rRNA
Rfam family: Bacterial small subunit ribosomal RNA
Source: RNAcentral
YGGGGAAUUUUGCGCAAUGGGCGAAAGCCUGACGCAGUAACGCCGCGUGGAGGACGAAGGCCUUCGGGUUGUAAACUCCUGUCAGGGGGAAAGAAGGGCUUGAGGCUAGAAUAUAUCUUCGAGUUCUGACGGUACCCCCAAAGGAAGCCCCGGAUAAUUCCGUG